CUUGGGAGAAGCUGGCAGAGGGCGGUGGGCCUGCAGGUGUAGACCGCGCACCACUGGCUUUAUAGCCUCUCGUUCUCAAGAUAAUAGUUUUUGGAUGGAGAAACGGGCUCUGAAAAGCUGAAGAUGUAAAGGCCCAGGACCAGCGAGCGGCAGAGCUGGGCUUCAGCCGUGGGGUCUGUCCUUCCGAAGUCAGUGCUCACUCUGCCCACCUCACAGUCCCUCCGGCCACUCUGGACCCCUCUGGGCGCCCUGCGCCUAAGCCAGGCUCUCAGGGCCGGCUCCUGUCUGAGGCCCUCCGUGUCCCGUGCCUCAGUGCCCUCAUCAGGACAGGAGCCUUCCAGGAGGUACCCAGGCUGGACAGCCGGACCCUCACGGCCGGUGUGUGGGUGAGGGGUGGUCAGGACCCUCCCACAUCCACACGGCCACCGGCGUGCUCUGCAGACCGGAACAGCGGUCCCCAAGCAGCGGGGUAAUUUCUCCAGUGUCUACAGGCGUUUUGGUGAUUACCAACACACAAAUUCAUUUAAAGGCAUUAUUGAAUUCCUA
Molecule: long non-coding RNA, 546 nt
Organism: Chinchilla lanigera (long-tailed chinchilla)
Lineage: Eukaryota; Metazoa; Chordata; Mammalia; Rodentia; Chinchillidae
Exons: 2
Source: RefSeq, a predicted model, not a curated record